GCGCACGUGGCGGAAUUGGUAGACGUGCAGGUCUCAGAAGCCUGUGCCUUCGGGCGUGGGAGUUCGACUCUCCCCGUGCGCA
RNAcentral lists this transfer RNA (82 nucleotides) under Pontibacter lucknowensis. RNAcentral describes it as "Pontibacter sp. DM9 tRNA". It matches the Rfam family "tRNA". From Rfam's summary of the family: Transfer RNA (tRNA) molecules are approximately 80 nucleotides in length. Their secondary structure includes four short double-helical elements and three loops (D, anti-codon, and T loops). Lineage: Bacteria; Pseudomonadati; Bacteroidota; Cytophagia; Cytophagales; Hymenobacteraceae. The record is from Rfam by way of RNAcentral. RNAcentral also lists the same sequence under 9 other names.